AGAGCGAACGCUGGCGGCAGGCCUAACACAUGCAAGUCGAGCGCCGUAGCAAUACGGAGCGGCAGACGGGAGAGUAACACGUGGGAACGUGCCCUUUGGUUCGGAACAACCCAGGGAAACUUGGGCUAAUACCGAAUACGUCCGUAAGGAGAAAGAUUUAUCGCUGAAGGAUCGGCCCGCGUCUGAUUAGCUAGUUGGUGAGGUAACGGCUCACCAAGGCUACGAUCAGUAGCUGGUCUGAGAGGAUGAUCAGCCUCACUGGGACUGAGACACGGCCCAGACUCCUACGGGAGGCAGCAGUGGGGAAUAUUGGACAAUGGGCGCAAGCCUGAUCCAGCCAUGCCGCGUGAGUGAUGAAGGCCCUAGGGUUGUAAAGCUCUUUUGUGCGGGAAGAUAAUGACGGUACCGCAAGAAUAAGCCCGGCUAACUUCGUGCCAGCAGCCGC
RNAcentral lists this ribosomal RNA (445 nucleotides) under uncultured bacterium. RNAcentral's name for it is "SSU rRNA". It matches the Rfam family "Bacterial small subunit ribosomal RNA", at positions 26 to 518 of the family's 1533-position model. The record is from RNAcentral.